RNAcentral lists this ribosomal RNA (446 nucleotides) under uncultured bacterium. RNAcentral describes it as "SSU rRNA". It matches the Rfam family "Bacterial small subunit ribosomal RNA", at positions 26 to 518 of the family's 1533-position model. The record is from RNAcentral.
AGAACGAACGCUGGCGGCAGGCUUAACACAUGCAAGUCGAACGGUUGUAGCAAUACAGCAGUGGCGCACGGGUGAGUAACGCGUGGGAACGUACCCUUCAGUCGGGAAUAACAGCGGGAAACUGCUGCUAAUACCCGAUAUUAUCUCCGGAUGAAAGAUUUAUCGCUGAAGGAUCGGCCCGCGUCAGAUUAGCUAGUUGGUGAGGUAACGGCUCACCAAGGCUCCGAUCUGUAGCUGGUCUGAGAGGACGACCAGCCACACUGGAACUGAGACACGGUCCAGACUCCUACGGGAGGCAGCAGUGGGGAAUAUUGGACAAUGGGCGAAAGCCUGAUCCAGCCAUGCCGCGUGAAUGAUGAAGGCCUUAGGGUUGUAAAGUUCUUUUGCCAGGGAAGAUAAUGACGGUACUGGAGAAUAAGCACGGCUAACUUCGUGCCAGCAGCCGC